This 873-nucleotide ribosomal RNA is filed under the name uncultured Pseudomonadales bacterium. Its description in RNAcentral is "bacterial SSU rRNA". It matches the Rfam family "Bacterial small subunit ribosomal RNA", at positions 28 to 896 of the family's 1533-position model. The record is from RNAcentral. Lineage: Bacteria; Pseudomonadati; Pseudomonadota; Gammaproteobacteria; Pseudomonadales.
AUUGAACGCUGGCGGCAGGCCUAACACAUGCAAGUCGAGCGGAUGAAGGGGGCUUGCUCCUGGCUUCAGCGGCGGACGGGUGAGUAAUGCCUAGGAAUCUGCCUGGUAGUGGGGGAUAACGUCCGGAAACGGGCGCUAAUACCGCAUACGUCCUGAGGGAGAAAGUGGGGGAUCUUCGGACCUCACGCUAUCAGAUGAGCCUAGGUCGGAUUAGCUAGUUGGUGGGGUAAAGGCCUACCAAGGCGACGAUCCGUAACUGGUCUGAGAGGAUGAUCAGUCACACUGGAACUGAGACACGGUCCAGACUCCUACGGGAGGCAGCAGUGGGGAAUAUUGGACAAUGGGCGAAAGCCUGAUCCAGCCAUGCCGCGUGUGUGAAGAAGGUCUUCGGAUUGUAAAGCACUUUAAGUUGGGAGGAAGGGCAGUAAGUUAAUACCUUGCUGUUUUGACGUUACCAACAGAAUAAGCACCGGCUAACUUCGUGCCAGCAGCCGCGGUAAUACGAAGGGUGCAAGCGUUAAUCGGAAUUACUGGGCGUAAAGCGCGCGUAGGUGGUUCAGCAAGUUGGAUGUGAAAUCCCCGGGCUCAACCUGGGAACUGCAUCCAAAACUACUGAGCUAGAGUACGGUAGAGGGUGGUGGAAUUUCCUGUGUAGCGGUGAAAUGCGUAGAUAUAGGAAGGAACACCAGUGGCGAAGGCGACCACCUGGACUGAUACUGACACUGAGGUGCGAAAGCGUGGGGAGCAAACAGGAUUAGAUACCCUGGUAGUCCACGCCGUAAACGAUGUCGACUAGCCGUUGGGAUCCUUGAGAUCUUAGUGGCGCAGCUAACGCGAUAAGUCGACCGCCUGGGGAGUACGGCCGCAAGGUUA